UCCGGUUUGUCACCGGCAGUCUCCUUAGAGUGUCCUUGCGUAGCAACUAAGGACAAGGGUUGCGCUCGUUGCGGGACUUAACCCAACAUCUCACGACACGAGCUGACGACGGCCAUGCAGCACCUGUGUUCGCGUUCCCGAAGGCACUCCCGCAUCUCUGCAGGAUUCGCGACAUGUCAAGGCCAGGUAAGGUUCUUCGCGUUGCAUCGAAUUAAACCACAUACUCCACCGCUUGUGCGGGUCCCCGUCAAUUCCUUUGAGUUUUAAUCUUGCGACCGUACUCCCCAGGCGGUCAACUUCACGCGUUAGCUGCGUUACCAAGCCCGUUAAGACCCGACAACUAGUUGACAUCGUUUAGGGCGUGGACUAC
This 370-nucleotide unclassified non-coding RNA is filed under the name uncultured Gammaproteobacteria bacterium. RNAcentral describes it as "contains 16S-23S intergenic spacer region". Lineage: Bacteria; Pseudomonadati; Pseudomonadota; Gammaproteobacteria. The record is from RNAcentral.